Molecule: long non-coding RNA, 248 nt
Filed under: Lathyrus oleraceus (garden pea)
Lineage: Eukaryota; Viridiplantae; Streptophyta; Magnoliopsida; Fabales; Fabaceae
Description: Pisum sativum (pea) long non-coding RNA (PSAT_LNC029579)
Source: RNAcentral
AUGGUUAAGCUAAAUCAAGAAGUUAGGAAAAUAAAAUAAAAUAAAAUGAUAAUUAUAUAAAAUAAAACAAUAGAAUUCAAAAUUGUCAAUGUUAAGGAUCAAACCUAUCACCUGGUGGAAAACAACUGCUGCCUCAACCACCAGGCCAAGAAUAGUCAACUGGAAACCAAACGCACCAAGUGAUAUAAGACAUGAAACUUAAAUGGAAGUUUUUUUAAAAAAUGAAAACAAAGGGAAAACGAGCCAUG